RNAcentral lists this RNase P RNA (310 nucleotides) under bovine gut metagenome. Its description in RNAcentral is "Bacterial RNase P class B". It matches the Rfam family "Bacterial RNase P class B". From Rfam's summary of the family: Ribonuclease P (RNase P) is a ubiquitous endoribonuclease, found in archaea, bacteria and eukarya as well as chloroplasts and mitochondria. The record is from RNAcentral. RNAcentral also lists the same sequence under 1 other name.
GGACGACUGCUGCCGCAAGGUAGAGGAAAGUCCAUGCUCGCACCGCCUGUGACGACGGUAGUGAUUGCGCUGGGGGAAUCAAUAACCCCAGGCACGCGGGAGCGCGUGACGGCGGAGGAACUCCUCUAGCAGGAGGGAAUCCCUAAGGUGCCACAGAGACGAGCUUGAUGGCGACAUCAAGAUGAAACGAGGCAAACCCCACAAGCGAGAAACCCAAAUUUGGUAGGGGAAGCGCCCAAUCCGAACCGAAGGAGAGGGAGCCGGCGAAUGCCGAGAUAAAUUGUCGUCCUAGACAAAACAUGGCUUAUAG